Molecule: ribosomal RNA, 253 nt
Filed under: uncultured bacterium
Lineage: Bacteria
Description: partial 16S ribosomal RNA
Rfam family: Bacterial small subunit ribosomal RNA
Source: RNAcentral
UACGAAGGGGGCUAGCGUUGCUCGGAAUUACUGGGCGUAAAGGGCUCGUAGGUGGUCAACUAAGUCGGACGUGAAAUCCCUCGGCUUAACCGGGGAACUGCGUCCGAUACUGGAUGACUUGAGUUCGGGAGAGGGAUGCGGAAUUCCAGGUGUAGCGGUGAAAUGCGUAGAUAUCUGGAGGAACACCGGUGGCGAAGGCGGCAUCCUGGACCGACACUGACGCUGAGGAGCGAAAGCCAGGGGAGCAAACGGG